Molecule: non-coding RNA, 1127 nt
Organism: Procambarus clarkii (red swamp crayfish)
Lineage: Eukaryota; Metazoa; Arthropoda; Malacostraca; Decapoda; Cambaridae
Source: RefSeq, a predicted model, not a curated record
UGCGUGUCACUACUGUUCAGUGUCAUUCCUCCUGUCACUUCACUGCAGUUACUGUCAGUGAGUGUCAGAGUGCAGUGCCACAAGUCUGUAGGUGCCUCUGGGUGCCAACGAGGGAGAUUCUCGCUCGUCUCGGCGUCUCAUGUCUCGUUGUCAGUCAGUUCAGGUUGUAAAUGUCUCGUUGUCAGUCAGUUCAGGUUGUAAAUGUCUCGUUGUCAGUCAGUUCAGGUUGUAAAUGUCACGUAGUCAGUCAGUUCAGGUUGUAAAUGUCUCGUUGUCAAUGUUGUAAAUGUCUCGUUGUCAGUCAGUUCAGGUUGUAAAUGUCUCGUUGUCAGUCAGUUCAUGUUGUAAAUGUCUCGUUGUCAGUCAGUUCAGGUUGUAAAUGUCACGUAGUCAGUCAGUUCAGGUUGUAAAUGUCUCGUUGUCAGUCAGUUCAGGUUGUAAAUGUCUCGUUGUCAGUCAGUUCAGGUUGUAAAUGAUUCGUUAUCAGUCAGUUCAGGUUGUCAAUGUCAGUUGUCAGUCAACUAAUGUUGUAAAUGUCUCGUUGACAAUCAGUUCAUGCUGUAAAUGACUCGUAAUUUGUCAUAUGUUAAAAACGUGUCCUAACUGGUCGAUGGAUGUUGAGCUGUAAGUUAAACAGUCAGCUGGUGUAUAACAGUCUCCAGCUAACGAUGCAAAUGUCCCGUUUUUGGUGUCAAUUGAUAUUGUUUAUGUAUCGUAGUCUGUCAGCUGACUCGAUAGAUUCUUAAUCCACUUCCACUGUGUCAGAAGAACGAAACGAGAGAGAGGGGAGGGACUGGGGGGGGGGGGGUACUGUCACCAGGUCGGGCGCAAAGUUCAAGCAAUUCUGACAAGUUAAGGCCUAAACGAGUUCUGUAAAUGUCAGCCAACAGUGGUGGCAGCGAGGGUCUCAUUGUGGAGGUGGGCGGUGAAAAGGUUAUAUGAACUGUCAUUAGCUGCGAGGUCAUUUGUUCGUGUGAGUGCCAUGGAACAACUGCGGCCUCUGAUUGGCUGCUGGUUGGGAUUCUCUCUCUCUCUCUCAGUCUCUGUCUCUCUCUCUGUCUGUCUCUCUCUCUCUCUCUCUCUCUCUCUCUCUCUCUCUCAUCAGCAUUGUACACUUGCAUGGGACU